GAUGAACGCUGGCUACAGGCUUAACACAUGCAAGUCGAGGGGAAACGACGGGGAAGCCUGCUUCCCCGGGCGUCGACCGGCGCACGGGUGAGUAACGCGUAUCCAACCUGCCUCUGACUGAGGGAUAACCCGUCGAAAGUCGGCCUAAUACCUCAUGGCAUCGUCUGCGGGCAUCCAACGACGAUUAAAGAUUUCAUCGGUCAGGGAUGGGGAUGCGUCUGAUUAGCUUGUUGGCGGGGUAACGGCCCACCAAGGCUACGAUCAGUAGGGGUUCUGAGAGGAAGGUCCCCCACAUUGGAACUGAGACACGGUCCAAACUCCUACGGGAGGCAGCAGUGAGGAAUAUUGGUCAAUGGGCGGGAGCCUGAACCAGCCAAGUAGCGUGCAGGAUGACGGCCCUAUGGGUUGUAAACUGCUUUUAUGCGGGGAUAAAGUGAGGGACGUGUCCUUCAUUGCAGGUACCGCAUGAAUAAGGACCGGCUAAUUCCGUG
This 491-nucleotide ribosomal RNA is filed under the name uncultured bacterium. RNAcentral's name for it is "partial 16S ribosomal RNA". It matches the Rfam family "Bacterial small subunit ribosomal RNA", at positions 28 to 507 of the family's 1533-position model. The record is from RNAcentral.